UUUUUUUUUUUUUUUUUCAAGUUCUUUACUUCAUUGAUCAACUACAGAACAUUGUAUUACACUGAGGCUGCAGCUUGCAGGAGUUAGCUAUUUAGAGUGAAGAAGAGCAAAAAUGAACGGCUUGGAUGGAUUCAUGCGAUGGAAGAAUCUAAAGCAACGACUAUCAUUCAAGGGCCUGGGUUGCUGUGGUGGAACUUGGACUCCUAGAGCCACAAUCAGGACCAUUAUAGAGGAAGACGAAGAAGAAGAAG
RNAcentral lists this unclassified non-coding RNA (251 nucleotides) under Hevea brasiliensis (rubber tree). The record is from RNAcentral. Lineage: Eukaryota; Viridiplantae; Streptophyta; Magnoliopsida; Malpighiales; Euphorbiaceae.